UCGGGAAUUUUGGGCAAUGGGCGAAAGCCUGACCCAGCAACGCCGCGUGAAGGAUGAAGUAUUUCGGUAUGUAAACUUCGAAAGAAUAGGAAGAAUAAAUGACGGUACUAUUUAUAAGGUCCGGCUAACUACGUGCCAGCAGCCGCGGUAAUACGUAGGGACCAAGCGUUGUUCGGAUUUACUGGGCGUAAAGCGUGUGCAGACGGACUAGCAAGUGGUGUAUGAAAUCGCGGUGCUUAACACAGCGAGGUUAUGCCAGACUGCUGGACUAGAGUGCGAGAGAGGGAUGUGGAAUUCCGGGUGUAGUGGUGAAAUGCGUAGAGAUCCGGAGGAACCCCAGAGGCGAAAGCGGCGUCCUGGCUCGCAACUGACGUUCAGACACGACAGCAUGGGGAGCAAACGGGAUUAGAUACCCCAGUAGUCCCUGAGCGGGCUGGCAAGGCGCAU
RNAcentral lists this ribosomal RNA (447 nucleotides) under uncultured bacterium. RNAcentral describes it as "bacterial SSU rRNA". It matches the Rfam family "Bacterial small subunit ribosomal RNA", at positions 355 to 825 of the family's 1533-position model. The record is from RNAcentral.